GCCUGUCUGGCUCAGUCGGUGGAGCAUAUGACUCUUGAUCUUGGGGUUGUGAGUUGAAGCCCCACGUUGGGUG
This 73-nucleotide transfer RNA is filed under the name Ailuropoda melanoleuca (giant panda). It matches the Rfam family "tRNA". From Rfam's summary of the family: Transfer RNA (tRNA) molecules are approximately 80 nucleotides in length. Their secondary structure includes four short double-helical elements and three loops (D, anti-codon, and T loops). Lineage: Eukaryota; Metazoa; Chordata; Mammalia; Carnivora; Ursidae. The record is from Rfam by way of RNAcentral.